This 341-nucleotide ribosomal RNA is filed under the name Parisopsalis spryi. RNAcentral describes it as "eukaryotic LSU rRNA". It matches the Rfam family "Eukaryotic large subunit ribosomal RNA", at positions 33 to 351 of the family's 3401-position model. Lineage: Eukaryota; Metazoa; Arthropoda; Insecta; Dermaptera; Anisolabididae. The record is from RNAcentral.
UUUAAGCAUAUUAAUAAGCGGAGGAAAAGAAACUACCAAGGAUUCCCUUAGUAGCUGCGAGCGAACAGGGAAAUGCUCAGCAUAAAAUCUUGUAACUUUACAGUUAUCAAGAGAUGUUAUGUUUAGGGAGUUUCGUUUAUCCUAUAAUGUACAUUUAGUCCAAGUCCACCUUGAAUGGGGCAUAUCCCGUAGAGGGUGCCAGUCCCGUGGUGACAAGUGUUUAUAAAUCAUUAUAGGUGAAACUUUCCUUAGAGUCGGGUUGCUUGUAAAUGCAGCUCUAAGUGGGUGGUAAACUCCAUCUAAAGCUAAAUAUAACCACGAGACCGAUAGCGAACAAGUAC